UACGGAGGGUGCGAGCGUUGUCCGAAAUCAUUGGGCGUAAAGGGCGCGUAGGUGGCCCGGUCAGUUCGUGGUGAAAGCGCGGGGCUCAACCCUGCGUCGGCCAUGAAUACUGCCGCGGCUGGAGCACUGUAGAGGCAGGCGGAAUUCCGGGUGUAGCGGUGGAAUGCGUAGAGAUCCGGAAGAACACCGGUGGCGAAGGCGGCCUGCUGGGCAGUUGCUGACACUGAGGCGCGACAGCGUGGGGAGCAAACAGG
Molecule: ribosomal RNA, 254 nt
Filed under: uncultured bacterium
Lineage: Bacteria
Description: partial 16S ribosomal RNA
Rfam family: Bacterial small subunit ribosomal RNA
Source: RNAcentral